Long non-coding RNA from Acomys russatus (golden spiny mouse), 420 nucleotides. RefSeq lists it as uncharacterized. The transcript has 3 exons. The record is from RefSeq and is a predicted model, not a curated record. NCBI's taxonomy places the organism in Eukaryota, Metazoa, Chordata, Mammalia, Rodentia, Muridae.
CCCCAGCCUUCCCCAUGACAUGUGUGCCCUCCUCUGGGCUGUCCUUGCUCCUCAUCUUCCUUCUAGAGUCCUCAAGGCCAGGCUGGUCCCCAGGUCCCCAGGAGGGCAUCUCUACUUUUCCAUGGAUGGGAGGUUGUGUGUGCCCAUGGGUCCAUGGAUGGGAGGUUGUGUGUGCCCAUAGGUCCAUGGAUGGGAGGUUGUGUGUGCCCAUAGGUCCAUGAAUGGGAGGUUGUGUGUGCCCAUAGGUCCAUGGAUGGGAGGUUGUGUGUGCCCAUAGGUCCAUGGAUGGGAGGUUGUGUGUGCCUAUGGGUCCCUCUUGGCCUGGAGUUUUUAUUGCUCUUGUCCCCUGCCUUACCUGCUGGUAGACCUCCACAGCUGGCUUCCACAAGUGCCUCAGGCCCAGCCCUUCCACAUCGAACA